GGCGACGGGUGAGUAACGCGUGGGUAACCUGCCUCAUACAGGGGGAUAACAGUUAGAAAUGACUGCUAACACCGCAUAAUAUAGCGAAACCGCAUGAUUUUGCUAUCAAAUAUUUAUAGGUAUGAGAUGGGCCCGCGUCUGAUUAGCUAGUUGGUGGGGUAAAAGCCUACCAAGGCGACGAUCCAGUAGCCGGCUUGAGAGAGUGACCGGCCACAUUGGGACUGAGACACGGCCCAAACUCCUACGGGAGGCAGCAGUGGGGAAUAUUGGACAAUGGGGGAAACCCUGAUCCAGCGACGCCCGCGUGAGUGAAGAAGUAUUUCGGUAUGUAAAGCUCUAUCAGCAGGGAAGAUAAUGACAGUACCUGACUAAGAAGCCCCGGCUAACUACGUGCCAGCAGCUGC
This 404-nucleotide ribosomal RNA is filed under the name uncultured bacterium. RNAcentral describes it as "bacterial SSU rRNA". It matches the Rfam family "Bacterial small subunit ribosomal RNA", at positions 97 to 518 of the family's 1533-position model. The record is from RNAcentral.